CAGCCGCCGCGGUAAUACCGGCGGCCCGAGUGGCGGUCACUAUUAUUGGGCUUAAAACGUCCGUAGCCGGGUUGGGAAGUCCUCCGGGAAAUCUGGCCGCUUAACGGUCAGAAUGCCGGAGGAUACUCCCAGCCUAGGGAGCGGGAGAGGCCGAGGGGAUUCCCGGAGUAGGGGGGAAAUCCUAUAAUCCCGGGAGGACCACCUGUGGCGAAGGCGCUCGGCUGGAACGCGUCCGACGGUGAGGGACGAAGGCCAGGGGAGCAAACCGGAUUAGAUACCCGGGUAGUCCUGGCGGUAAACGAUGCGGACUUUGUGUCGGACAAGCUAUGAGCUUGUCCGGUGCCGGAGGGAAACCGUUAAGUCCGCCGCCUGGGGAGUACGGCCGCAAGGCUGAAACUUAAAGGAAUUGGCGGG
This 414-nucleotide ribosomal RNA is filed under the name uncultured microorganism. Its description in RNAcentral is "bacterial SSU rRNA". It matches the Rfam family "Archaeal small subunit ribosomal RNA", at positions 459 to 872 of the family's 1478-position model. The record is from RNAcentral.